Molecule: ribosomal RNA, 253 nt
Filed under: uncultured bacterium
Lineage: Bacteria
Description: partial 16S ribosomal RNA
Rfam family: Bacterial small subunit ribosomal RNA
Source: RNAcentral
UACGGAAGGGGCAAGCGUUGUUCGGAAUCAUUGGGCGUAAAGGGCGCGUAGGCGGUCGCGUGUGUCUGCUGUGAAAGCGCACGGCUCAACCGUGUGAAGUCGGUAGAAACUGCGGGACUUGAGGCUGGGAGAGGUUGGUGGAAUUCCCUGUGUAGCGGUGAAAUGCGUAGAUAUAGGGGAGAACACUCGUGGCGAAGGCGGCCAGCUGGACCAGCCCUGACGCUGAGGCGCGACAGCGUGGGUAGCAAACAGG